AGAGUUUGAUCAUGGCUCAGGACGAACGCUGGCGGCGUGCUUAACACAUGCAAGUCGAGCGGUAAGGCCCUUCGGGGUACACGAGCGGCGAACGGGUGAGUAACACGUGAGCAACCUGCCCCUGACUCCGGGAUAAGCGGUGGAAACGCCGUCUAAUACCGGAUACGACCCUCCUCCGCAUGGUGGGGGGUGGAAAGUUUUUUCGGUCGGGGAUGGGCUCGCGGCCUAUCAGCUUGUUGGUGGGGUAACGGCCUACCAAGGCGAUUACGGGUAGCCGGCCUGAGAGGGCGACCGGCCACACUGGGACUGAGACACGGCCCAGACUCCUGCGGGAGGCAGCAGUGGGGAAUAUUGCGCAAUGGGCGAAAGCCUGACGCAGCGACGCCGCGUGGGGGAUGACGGCCUUCGGGUUGUAAACCUCUUUUACCACUCACGCAGGCCCCACGUUUUCGUGGGAUUGACGGUAGGUGGGGAAUAAGGACCGGCUAACUACGUGCCAGCAGCCGCGGUAAUACGUAGGGUCCGAGCGUUGUCCGGAAUUAUUGGGCGUAAAGAGCUCGUAGGCGGCGUGUCGCGUCUGCUGUGAAAGACCGGGGCUUAACCCCGGUUCUGCAGUGGAUACGGGCAUGCUAGAGGUAGGUAGGGGAGACUGGAAUUCCUGGUGUAGCGGUGAAAUGCGCAGAUAUCAGGAGGAACACCGGUGGCGAAGGCGGGUCUCUGGGCCUUACCUGACGCUGAGGAGCGAAAGCAUGGGGAGCGAACAGGAUUAGAUACCCUGGUAGUCCAUGCCGUAAACGUUGGGCGCUAGGUGUGGGGACUUUCCACGGUUUCCGCGCCGUAGCUAACGCAUUAAGCGCCCCGCCUGGGGAGUACGGCCGCAAGGCUAAAACUCAAAGGAAUUGACGG
This 906-nucleotide ribosomal RNA is filed under the name uncultured bacterium. RNAcentral's name for it is "bacterial SSU rRNA". It matches the Rfam family "Bacterial small subunit ribosomal RNA", at positions 8 to 916 of the family's 1533-position model. The record is from RNAcentral.